GGGAGACACACGGCGGGUGCUAACGUCCGUCGUGAAGAGGGAAACAACCCAGACCGCCAGCUAAGGUCCCAAAGUCAUGGUUAAGUGGGAAACGAUGUGGGAAGGCCCAGACAGCCAGGAUGUUGGCUUAGAAGCAGCCAUCAUUUAAAGAAAGCGUAAUAGCUCACUGGUCGAGUCGGCCUGCGCGGAAGAUGUAACGGGGCUAAACCAUGCAC
Molecule: ribosomal RNA, 215 nt
Filed under: Escherichia coli
Lineage: Bacteria; Pseudomonadati; Pseudomonadota; Gammaproteobacteria; Enterobacterales; Enterobacteriaceae
Description: partial 23S ribosomal RNA
Rfam family: Bacterial large subunit ribosomal RNA
Source: RNAcentral